GUUGGUAUAGCUCAGUGGUAGAGCUCAUGCUCAGCAUGCAUGAGGUCCCAGGUUCAAUUCCCAGUACCUCCA
This 72-nucleotide transfer RNA is filed under the name Camelus bactrianus (Bactrian camel). It matches the Rfam family "tRNA". Rfam says of the family: Transfer RNA (tRNA) molecules are approximately 80 nucleotides in length. RNAcentral also lists the same sequence under 1 other name. The record is from Rfam by way of RNAcentral. Lineage: Eukaryota; Metazoa; Chordata; Mammalia; Artiodactyla; Camelidae.